UUCGCUCCCCACGCUUUCGUCCCUCAGCGUCAGUACAUACGUAGUAGACUGCCUUCGCAAUCGGUAUUCUGUGUAAUAUCUAUGCAUUUCACCGCUACACUACACAUUCUAUCUACUUCCAUAUGACUCAAGUCAACCAGUAUCAAAGGCAGUUCCAUAGUUGAGCUAUGGGAUUUCACCUCUGACUUAAUUGACCGCCUGCGGACCCUUUAAACCCAAUGAUUCCGGAUAACGCUCGGACCCUCCGUAUUACCGCGGCUGCUGGCACGGAGUUAGCCGGUCCUUAUUCUUACAGUACCGUCAAGCUGCUACACGUAGCAGGGUUUCUUCCUGUAUAAAAGCAGUUUACAACCCAUAGGGCCGUCUUCCUGCACGCGGCAUGGCUGGGUCAGAGUUGUCUCCAUUGCCCAAUAUUCCUCACUGCUGCCUCCCGUAGGAGUCUGGUCCGUGUCUCAGUACCAGUGUGGGGGAUCUCCCUCUCAGGACCCCUACCUAUCGCUGUCUUGGUAAGCCGUUACCUUACCAACUAACUAAUAGGACGCAUAGCCAUCUUUUACCGAUAAAUCUUUAAUUAAGUCUCGAUGCCAAGUCUCAAUACUAUAAGGUAUUAAUCUUCAUUUCUAAAGGCUAUCCCUCUGUAAAAGGUAAGUUCUAUACGCGUUACGCACCCGUGCGCCGGUCGUCAGCGAGUGCAAGCACUCCUGUUACCCCUCGACUUGCAUGUGUUAAGCCUGCCGCUAGCGUUCAUCCUGAGCCAGGAUCAAACUCU
Molecule: ribosomal RNA, 769 nt
Filed under: uncultured bacterium
Lineage: Bacteria
Description: partial 16S ribosomal RNA
Source: RNAcentral